GAGACGACUUUGACUUGACUUGUAAUAAUCACAUAAAACAAGCAGGAAAUUUCUGUACAUAUUCAGAUGAUUUUGCUAUUUAUAUUCAAUACUGUUUCAGUUUCUUGUUUUGCAAUUUCAGAUUCAUCACUCACUUUGACCUAAAUGUCUACUACUAAUCCAAAGAGGAAGAAGCACAACGUGUACUUGAGUUUCUGCAACCAAGACACUGCUUCUUUCGCUAAGCGUAUCUACAAGGCUCUUACUAGAAAAUCUCUAUUUAACGUUUUCUGGUACGACGAGAAGCUUCAAAGCCGUGACCGAGAAAUACCCACCUCUAUGCUCAAUGUUAUAGGAGAUUGCAAAGUUGCUAUAAUCGUGUUUUCCAGAAAUUAUGUUAAUUCAAGACCUUGUCUUCAAGAAUUCGAGAAAAUAACCCAAUGUUGCCUAAACACAACUGGUCUUAUUGUUCUUCCUUUGCUCUAUGAUGGUUACAAUGACUAUUCCUCGCUUGGAAUUGGCGGGGAGGCUUUUCAUGAUCUUGUCUGUAGAAUUUGGGUAAAGGAAACCUCAUCUGAAGAAGAAGACAAGUUCAUGAGUUGGGUGGCAACUAUCACUAAAACUACUACAUAUUCAGGAGUCAUUGAUUUUGCAGACAGCUAUGGAAGGGAAUAUAUUGGGGAUAUAGUUGAAAGUGUUAUUCGUGUGAUAAACAAGACGAGUGACUUGUUGGAUGCUUUCUAUACGGUGAGUUUGAAAUCCAGAGUGCAAGAUGUGAUUCAACUAUUGAAACAAUCAAGAUAUCCUAUCCUACUAGGGAUAUGGGGAAUGGCCGGGAUUGGUAAAUCAACUAUUGCUGAAGCUAUUUAUAAUCGGAUUGGUCCUUAUUUUGAGUACAAGUUCUUGCUCGAUAACGUCAGGGAAGUUUGGAAAACAGAUGGAGGUGUAGUUUCUUUACAAGAGAAACUUCUUUCUUAUAGGGGCAAACCAACUGAAAUAAAGAUAGGUACGACUGAAUCAGGAAAAGUUGUUUUAAAAGAAAUACUUCAUAAUAAAAGGGUACUUCUUGUACUUGACAAUGUUGAUAAAUUGGAGCAGCUAAAGUCUUUGUGCGGAAAUCGGGAUUGGUUUGGUCCAGGUAGCAAAAUAAUCAUCACAACCAGAGAUAGGAAUCUACUCAAGGAGCAUGGAGUAGACCAUAUAUAUAGAGUGAAAGAAUUGGAAGAAAGUGAAUCAAUUGAGCUUUUUAAUUGGCAUGCAUUCAGCCAAGUAACAACUCCUCAAGACAGUUUUGGUGAACUUUCUAGACAAUUAGUUGCGUAUUCUAGGGGAUUGCCUCUUGCUCUUAAAGCCCUUGGGGGGUUUUUACAUGGAAAGGAAGUACUUGAGUGGAAAGGUGUGUUGAGGAGUCUCGAAAGAUUUUCCUUUCCAGAUCAAGAAGUACUACAUGCUCUAGAAACGAGUUUUGAUGAUUUGAGCGAUGAAGAGAAACAAAUAUUCCUUGAUAUAGCAUGUUUCUUUAACAGGAUGGACCAAAAUGAUGUACUUCAUACAUUGAAUAGGUCAACACAAUGCACUAAUCUUCAAAUAAGUCUUCUUGAAGACAAGAGCCUUUUAACCAUUGUUGAGAAUAACAAGCUUGAAAUGCAUGUUUUGCUACAGGCCAUGGCAAGAGAUAUCAUUAAGAGGGAAUCAAGUAAUAAGACUGAUCAGCCAAAGAUGUACGAUGUGUUCUUGAGUUUUAGAGGGGAAGACAGCCGUGCAAAGUUCAUGUCACACCUCUAUUCCUCUCUUCAAAAUGCGGGAAUUCAUGCUUUCAGAGACAAUGAUGAGAUUCCACGAGGAGAUCACAUCUCAAUCUCACUGUUGCGAGCAAUCGGACAAUCUAGAAUUUCCAUCAUUAUUUUGUCUUCAAAUUAUGCUAAUUCCCGAUGGUGUAUGCUAGAGUUGGUUAAGAUAAUGGAAAUUGGUAGAACGAGGGGUAUGGUGGUUAUGCCUGUGUUCUAUGACGUAGAUCCCUCAGAAGUACGCCAUCAGACAGGUCAAUUUGGAGAAGUUUUUGAAGAUCUUAUCAAAACAAUCUCAGUGGAUGAAUCCACAAAGAGUAAUUGGAGAAGAGACCUCAUUGAUAUUGGUGGCAUAGCAGGGUUUGUACUCAGAGAUUCCAGGAAUGAGAGUGCAGAUAUCAAGAAUAUUGUCGAACAUGUCACCCGUUUGCUACAUAGGACAGAGUUAUUUGUUGCUGAACAUCCAGUGGGUGUAGAAUCUCGUGUGGAAGCUGCGACUAAGCUACUAAAUCUCCAAAAAUCAGAUGUUUUACUUCUAGGGAUAUGGGGAAUGGGGGGUGUUGGUAAGACAACCAUUGCCAAAUCCAUUUAUAAUCAAAUUGGGAGCAAAUUUGAAGGAAGGAGCUUCCUUCUAAAUAUAAGAGAAUUUUGGGAGACAAAUAUUAAUUUAGUUUCUCUACAGCAACAGGUACUUUGUGAUGUUUACAAAACUACGACGUUCAAGAUACAUGACAUAGAAUCAGGGAAAAAUAUAUUGAAGGAAAGACUUGCUCAAAAUAGGGUACUUGUUGUGCUUGAUGAUGUGAAUGAAUUGGACCAACUAAAGGCUUUGUGUGGAAGCCGCGAAUGGUUUGGCCCGGGGAGUAGAAUAAUCAUCACAACAAGAGACAUGCAUCUUCUUAGAUCGUGUAGAGUUGAUCAAGUGUAUACUGUAGAAGAAAUGGGGGAAAGUGAAUCUCUUGAGCUUUUCAGUUGGCAUGCAUUCAAGCAACCUAGUCCGACAAAAGCUUUUGCUACACAUUCGGAAGAUGUGAUUGCUUAUUCCGGAAGAUUGCCACUAGCACUUCAAGUCCUUGGGUCCUAUUUAUCUGACUGUGAAGUAACAGAGUGGCACAAAGCUUUGGACAAACUCAAAUGUAUACCCCAUGAUCAAGUACAUAAGAAGCUAAAAGUAAGCUUCGAUGGUUUAAAAGAUGUUACAGAAAAACAAAUAUUCCUUGAUAUAGCUUGUUUUUUUAUUGGGAUGGACAAAAAUGAUGUAAUACAAAUAUUAAAUGGGUGUGGUUUUUUUGGUGAGAUUGGAAUUAAAGUCCUUGUAGAGCGGGCUCUGGUAACUAUUGACAAUAGAAACAAGCUUAGAAUGCAUUAUUUGUUGAGAGACAUGGGAAGACAAAUAAUUUAUGAGGAGUCGCCAUUUGAUCCUGAGAAGCGCAGUAGGUUGUGGCGCCCUGAGGAAGUGUUUGAUUUAUUAUCAAAGCAUAAGGGAACCGAAGCUGUCAAGGGACUGGCUUUGGAGUUUCCAAGAAAAAAUACAGUUUGUCUGAGUACCAAAGCAUUUAAGAAGAUGAAUAAACUUAGAUUGCUUCAACUUGUUGGGGUGCAGCUUGAUGGAGAUUUUAAAUAUCUUUCAGGGGAUCUUAGAUGGCUGCACUGGCGUGGGUUUCCAUCAACUUACACUCCUGCAGAAUUGCAGCAAGGAAGUCUAGUUUCCAUUGAAUUAAAAUACAGUCAUCUCAAACAAAUAUGGAAGGAGAGUCGGGUGCUUGAGAAUCUAAAAAUUCUUAAUCUUAGUCAUUCUCGGGAUUUGACUGAAACUCCAUACUUUUCGUUCUUACCUAAUCUUGAAAAGCUAGUACUCAAAAACUGUCCAAGUUUGUCUUCGGUCUCCCAUAGCAUUGGAUCUCUCCAUAAACUUGUUCUAAUAAAUUUGACAGACUGCACAAGUCUUCAGAAUCUUCCGAUAAGCAUUUAUAAAUUAAAAUCUUUAGAAUCUUUGAUUCUCUCUGGAUGUUCCAUGAUCAACAAAUUGGAGGAGGACUUGGAACAGAUGGAGUCGUUGACAACCUUGAUUGCGGAUAAGACUGCUAUAACAAAAGUGCCCUAUUCAAUAGUAAGAUUAAAAAACAUUGGAUAUAUUUCUAUUUGUGGCUUUGAAGGAUUUUCACGUGAUGUAUUUCCUUCUCUCAUUCGGUCUUGGCUCUCACCAUCAAGUAAUGUGAUUUCCCUAGUUCAGACAUCUACAUCAAUGUCAUCUCUUGGUGCUUUCAAGGACCUUCUAAAGCUUCGAAUUCUUUGUGUGGAAUGUGGCUCAAAACUUCAACUAACUCAAGAUGUAGCAAGAAUUUUGGAUGCAUUAAAAGCCACAUUUUUUCAUAAAUUUGAAGCAAAUGCAAGGGAAACUACAUCACAAAUCUCUGAUAUACAUGCUUCUCCUUUAAUUGACGACUGCCUUGGUCAAGUUCACAUUUCAGGGUCCAAUAAUUACUUGAAAUCUCUCUUAAUUCAAAUGGGAACAAAAUGCCAAGUCUCUAAUAUUAUCGAAUACAAUAUUUUUCAGACUGCAGAUGCGUUUUGGGAUUCAUUUGUGCUCCCCUGUGACAAUAAUUCAGAUUGGUUAACUUUCCGUUGCAAAGGUCGUGGCAUAGUGUUUGAUCUCCCAACAAUGAAGGGGCAUAACCUGAAGAGUAUGUUCCUGUUCGUAGUCUAUUACUCUUCCCCAAACACCAUAACUUCAAAAGGUUGCCAAGGUGUGUUGAUCAUAAACUUCACGAAGGCAACCAUUCAUGCCUGCAAAAGAGAUACACUAACCUCCUUUGAGGAUGAGGAUUGGCAGAGCAUAACAUCAAAUCUAGAACCUGGUAACAAAGUGGGGGUUAUGGUAGUUUUUGGGGAGGGAUUCAUUGUAAAGUUCACAUCAAUAUCUCUCUUAUAUGAUGAACCGAUCAACAAAGAAAUAGAACACUGUAAUGCAGAAUAUGGGGAGGAUGAUAUUGUUUCUAGUGAUGGCAACAAGGAUGUUAGUGAUUAUAUUAAUGUGCGAGCGGAUAACAAUGUUACUAGUCCUGGUGAAGAUGACAAUAUUAGUGAAGAUAAGCACUCACAAGCAGUGGAUAAGAAUUCAAUUGUUUCUCAUGAUGAUGGCAUGGAAGCAAAUAAGAAUUGUGCUGUCUCUGGUGGCGGUGAUAUACCACCAGAUAACAUUGUUUCCGUUUCUAGUGAAAAUGAAAACGUGAGUGAUAGUAACAACAGGGAUUUGGUAGAUAAGGAUGCUAAUGUUUCUGGUAAAGCGUAUAAGAAUUUUGUUGUUUCUAGUGGAGAUAAAAAUAGAAUUCGUAGACUGUUCGUCAAGCUUCCUUCCCUCGUUCGUGCUGUUUUGAUCUCACGCCCUUUCUGGUUCAGUCUGGUUUCCAUUCUGAUUUGGAUUGCUUGCUGUGGUUCUAAGCGAUAUAGUCGAAAACUCCUUACAAGAUCUACACGAAGGGGUAAAUGGCUAGUGGAUUGUGCUCACAAGCUUUUUACAUACAAGAAGGCCAACAAAGCUCACAGCCUCAGCCAUUCAGAGUUAAGCUUGAACACUAGGAGGAGCCCCCUAUGCCUGCAGAGAAGGUUUGCUACAUGCAAAGCCAUUAUAUAUCAAAGGUGAGUCAUUUUUGGGGGUCCUGAGGAUAUGUCUGUCCUAAGGUUGUUUCAGGACCAUGUUGCAGCUCAACUGUGGAUUAGAGAUGAUCUUGGUUGUCUAAAGGUUGUGAUCCAAAGAUGAGAAAUUAAAGAGUGCAUACUAAAGAUGGUUGGCAAGGGUCUGCUGUCCGAUAUCGCUGAUAGGUAGCAUAAAGAAACCAACCGUAUCCACCUACUCUGUGUGGACAUGAAGAUCACAUUGGACGAUGUGUCAUGUGACAUCAGUGCCUUAAUCUAUCGUGAUAUCCAGAGACAUUGCACGGGCUUAUUUACUUAAUCUCAAGGGUCUACACUCGCACAGGAAACUAUGGAGAUCGGUGCCACAAGAGGUGCACAUAUGUUUGCUUUAGUAGACUAUGCAACAAGAGCAUUUCUGCUACACGUGACAAGAGUGUGUAACAUUUUGGAGUUUACUAUUGAACUACCAAUAUUGAUGGGCAAAUUCUUACAUGAUGUGAAGGUAAUUGAUGAAAAUGGAGAAAUAUACACCUUAUAUCUAAAGUUUCAUGGGUAGAACAAAACUCUUACCAAAAAUAAUAAUUAACUACAGACAAAUGAUGAGAAUGUUUGGACAUACUCUACAAGUGUAAGAAGUGAAAGGAAAUUGAAGAUGAAUUUUGAUGUUUUUAGUUUUUUAUUUAUACUGAUAAGCUAUUAAGAGAUUUGGGGAAUUGAGAUAGUUUUGUACUAUGAGUUAUUGAAAUGAAUGGACUUUUCAGGUA
RNA transcript from Lathyrus oleraceus (garden pea), 6166 nucleotides. RefSeq lists it as uncharacterized. NCBI's taxonomy places the organism in Eukaryota, Viridiplantae, Streptophyta, Magnoliopsida, Fabales, Fabaceae. The record is from RefSeq and is a predicted model, not a curated record. The transcript has 11 exons.